Molecule: ribosomal RNA, 197 nt
Filed under: uncultured bacterium
Lineage: Bacteria
Description: partial 16S ribosomal RNA
Rfam family: Bacterial small subunit ribosomal RNA
Source: RNAcentral
ACGCUCGACACCUACGGGAGGAGCAGUGGGGAAUAUUGCACAAUGGGGGAAACCCUGAUGCAGCGACGCCGCGUGGAGGAAGAAGGUCUUCGGAUUGUAAACUCCUGUUGUUGGGGAAAAAGAGGAUGGUACCCAACAAGGAAGUGACGGCUAACUACGUGCCAGUAGCCGCGGUAAUCUGAGCGGGCUGGCAAGGC